UUGUAGCUCUGAUCAUUGUAAUGCCU
This 26-nucleotide non-coding RNA is filed under the name Mus musculus (house mouse). Lineage: Eukaryota; Metazoa; Chordata; Mammalia; Rodentia; Muridae. The record is from RNAcentral.